RNAcentral lists this ribosomal RNA (332 nucleotides) under uncultured Conexibacter sp. RNAcentral's name for it is "bacterial SSU rRNA". It matches the Rfam family "Bacterial small subunit ribosomal RNA", at positions 568 to 898 of the family's 1533-position model. The record is from RNAcentral. Lineage: Bacteria; Bacillati; Actinomycetota; Thermoleophilia; Solirubrobacterales; Conexibacteraceae.
CGCGUAGGUGGCUCUAUAAGUCCGUUGUGAAAGUCAAAGGCUCAACCUUUGAAAGCCGAUGGAUACUGUAGAGCUAGAGUCCGGAAGAGGCGAGUGGAAUUCCUGGUGUAGCGGUGGAAUGCGCAGAUAUCAGGAGGAACACCAAUAGCGAAGGCAGCUCGCUGGGACGUGACUGACACUAAGGCGCGAAAGCGUGGGGAGCGAACAGGAUUAGAUACCCUGGUAGUCCACGCCGUAAACGAUGGGCACUAGGUGUGGGAGGUGUCGACUCCUCCCGUGCCGUCGCUAACGCACUAAGUGCCCCGCCUGGGGAGUACGGCCGCAAGGCUAAA